AGCCGAAACGGCCCUAAGGGGGCCGUCGUGCGGGGGCUGACCGCCCUGCGCCUGAUGAUGGCAGGUCAAA
RNAcentral lists this non-coding RNA (70 nucleotides) under Subdoligranulum sp. Lineage: Bacteria; Bacillati; Bacillota; Clostridia; Eubacteriales; Oscillospiraceae. The record is from RNAcentral.